RNAcentral lists this ribosomal RNA (671 nucleotides) under uncultured Lachnospiraceae bacterium. Its description in RNAcentral is "bacterial SSU rRNA". It matches the Rfam family "Bacterial small subunit ribosomal RNA", at positions 48 to 720 of the family's 1533-position model. Lineage: Bacteria; Bacillati; Bacillota; Clostridia; Lachnospirales; Lachnospiraceae. The record is from RNAcentral.
UUAACACAUGCAAGUCGAACGGGAAUUACUUUAUUGAAACUUCGGUCGAUUUAAUUUAAUUCUAGUGGCGGACGGGUGAGUAACGCGUGGGUAACCUGCCUUAUACAGGGGGAUAACAGUCAGAAAUGGCUGCUAAUACCGCAUAAGCGCACAGAGCUGCAUGGCUCGGUGUGAAAAACUCCGGUGGUAUAAGAUGGACCCGCGUUGGAUUAGCUUGUUGGUGGGGUAACGGCCCACCAAGGCGACGAUCCAUAGCCGGCCUGAGAGGGUGAACGGCCACAUUGGGACUGAGACACGGCCCAGACUCCUACGGGAGGCAGCAGUGGGGAAUAUUGCACAAUGGGGGAAACCCUGAUGCAGCGACGCCGCGUGAAGGAAGAAGUAUCUCGGUAUGUAAACUUCUAUCAGCAGGGAAGAUAGUGACGGUACCUGACUAAGAAGCCCCGGCUAACUACGUGCCAGCAGCCGCGGUAAUACGUAGGGGGCAAGCGUUAUCCGGAUUUACUGGGUGUAAAGGGAGCGUAGACGGUGUGGCAAGUCUGAUGUGAAAGGCAUGGGCUCAACCUGUGGACUGCAUUGGAAACUGUCAUGCUUGAGUGCCGGAGGGGUAAGCGGAAUUCCUAGUGUAGCGGUGAAAUGCGUAGAUAUUAGGAGGAACACCAGUGGCGAAG